Molecule: long non-coding RNA, 1454 nt
Filed under: Apteryx rowi (Okarito brown kiwi)
Lineage: Eukaryota; Metazoa; Chordata; Aves; Apterygiformes; Apterygidae
Description: lncRNA (ENSARWG00000007965.1)
Source: RNAcentral
GAUCUGAAAAGCAAAGAUCUGAAGCAGAGAUGAGCUGGAUAUGAAAUAUAUUUAAGUAAUAUGUCAGCAAGAGGUAUAAGAAGCUUCACCUAUUAAUAAAAAUUGUCUGAAGAUCUCUAAGGAUAAAAAAUGAUGAAAGCUGGAAUAGCGAGUGGUCUGAUAUCCUUUCUUUGCUCCAGUCAAGAUGAUUUGUGCUAAUGUGUGAUGAGAGAAAUCCAUCGUUUUCCAACACAUGGGAUCUAAGAUACAGCCCACUGAAGCUAUUAGGAUACAACUGGCUCAAGUGAUCUUCAGGACCUCUGAAGUGAAGAUGGUGGAAACCCAACAUGAGGGAGAAGAAGAUGAUUUAUUUACACUUUAUGGGUCGGAACAAGGCACAUCAGAAGCAGUAAAUAUCUUUGUGGAUCUCAUGCUGUGUUCAAUGUUGUAUGAAGUGACAUUUCCUCAACUCUAGCCAAAUGCCCAUGCCACAGAACUGGUGUUCUUUUGGUCUUGAUGUGCUGUCAACUGUUGUACUAUCAGAACAUCCAUUAGUAUUCUGACAGAAGGAACAAAAUUCACUAGAAGUUUGGACUGCUUCUGCAGAAUACAGUGUUUUGCAAACUGGAAAGGAAUCUGCUUCCGGGGCCCAGUUUCAGGAAACCAUCUCUAACGGCAGGACUGUGACCUGCUGCUCCCACAUCAGGGUGGGUAUCAAGGACAUCUUGGUGUAACCCAUCUGCUACACCUUUUCCUCUCUGUCUCAAGUUUGCUCAAGCCACACACACUUCAGCCAAGCAGAAGAGGAAAUUGGCUAUGUAUUUUUGCAUAAUAUUUUGGGGGGCAGCAGGGGGUCCCUGAAAAUGGUAGUGCUCUUUUUGCAGAGUGUGAACCUGAAGGCGUAGCUCCAAACAGAGUUAGAGCAUGCCUAGGACUUCCUAUCACACCUAUACAGACACAGACAUACAUGCCUACAGACACAAUUACAUUUGAUUGCAUAUGAAAUGCAUCCUCAGUAAAAUCUGCCCACAAGCUUGCUAGAUUGAAUUUUGGAACUGGUUUGAAGCUACCUGUAAAACUUCAUCUCAUCAUAGAAGUCCAUUGCUUGGCCAAAACAGAAUAUAGAAUAUAGAGAAUAUAGAAAAUGGAACAAAUACAGAACGAAAGUCUUGCCCUUUGCUGAACUUGGAACUCUUAAAUAUUUGCAUACCUUAUUAGAAACAAGCAUAUAAACUAGGUGAAAUAGUUCAGGCAAACAAAGCCCAAGCUGGAGACAGUAAGUUAGAAGCAAGCUACUUUUCUCUUAUUCUAGGAGCUGAAAUGGAAAAUACUGGCUUAUUCUCAAGAAACAGGAGCCUAAUUCUUACUGCAUUGCUAACCUAAAUGUCCAGUUCAUUCAAGUCACAGCUAGGCAGCUAAGUGUCUAGGCACUUUUUUGGUUUUGUAUUGUGUCAUUCAAUCUGAUGUGAACUGAU